CGUAGGGUGCAGGCGUUAAUCGGAAUUACUGGGGGUAAAGCGUGCGCAGGCGGUCUGCUAAGAGAGAUGUGAAAUCCCCGGGCUUAACCUGGGAACUGCGUUUCUAACUGGCAGGCUUGAGUGUGGCAGAGGGGGGUGGAAUUCCACGUGUAGCAGUGAAAUGCGUAGAGAUGUGGAGGAACACCGAUGGCGAAGGCAGCCCCCUGGGCUAACACUGACGCUCAUGCACGAAAGCGUGGGGAGCAAACAGGAUUAGAUACCCUGGUAGUCCACGCCCUAAACUAUGACAACUGGUUGUCGGGGAAGCAAUUCCUUGGUAACGAAGCUAACGCGUGAAGUUGACCGCCUGGGGAUACGGCCGCAAGGUUA
Molecule: ribosomal RNA, 369 nt
Filed under: uncultured organism
Description: bacterial SSU rRNA
Rfam family: Bacterial small subunit ribosomal RNA
Source: RNAcentral